This 358-nucleotide ribosomal RNA is filed under the name uncultured Bacteroides sp. RNAcentral describes it as "bacterial SSU rRNA". It matches the Rfam family "Bacterial small subunit ribosomal RNA", at positions 346 to 702 of the family's 1533-position model. Lineage: Bacteria; Pseudomonadati; Bacteroidota; Bacteroidia; Bacteroidales; Bacteroidaceae. The record is from RNAcentral.
AGGCAGCAGUGAGGAUAUUGGUCAAUGGACGAGAGUCUGAACCAGCCAAGUAGCGUGAAGGAUGACUGCCCUAUGGGUUGUAAACUUCUUUUAUACGGGAAUAAAGUUAGGCACGUGUGCCUUUUUGUAUGUACCGUAUGAAUAAGGAUCGGCUAACUCCGUGCCAGCAGCCGCGGUAAUACGGAGGAUCCGAGCGUUAUCCGGAUUUAUUGGGUUUAAAGGGAGCGUAGGCGGAUGCUUAAGUCAGUUGUGAAAGUUUGCGGCUCAACCGUAAAAUUGCAGUUGAUACUGGGUGUCUUGAGUACAGUAGAGGCAGGCGGAAUUCGUGGUGUAGCGGUGAAAUGCUUAGAUAUCACGA